AGAGUUGAUCAUGGCUCAGGACGAACGCUGGCGGCGCGCCUAACACAUGCAAGUCGAACGGUGAAGAGGAGCUUGCUCCUCGGAUCAGUGGCGGACGGGUGAGUAACACGUGAGCAACCUGCCUUUCAGUGGGGGACAACAGUUGGAAACGACUGCUAAUACCGCAUAACGUGCUUAGGGGGCAUCCCCCGAGUACCAAAGAUUUAUCGCUGAAAGAUGGGCUCGCGUCUGAUUAGAUAGUUGGUGAGGUAACGGCCCACCAAGUCGACGAUCAGUAGCCGGACUGAGAGGUUGAACGGCCACAUUGGGACUGAGACACGGCCCAGACUCCUACGGGAGGCAGCAGUGGGGAAUAUUGGACAAUGGGGGAAACCCUUAUCCAGCGACGCCGCGUGAGGGAAGAAGGUUUUCGGAUUGUAAACCUCUGUCAGCGGGGACGAUAAUGACGGUACCCGCGGAGGAAGCCACGGCUAACUACGUGCCAGCAGCCGCGGUAAUACGUAGGUGGCAAGCGUUGUCCGGAAUUACUGGGUGUAAAGGGAGCGUAGGCGGGGUAUCAAGUCAGAAGUGAAAAUUACGGGCUCAACUCGUAACCUGCUUUUGAAACUGAUACUCUUGAGUGAAGUAGAGGCAAGGGGAAUUCCUAGUGUAGCGGUGAAAUGCUUAGAUAUUAGGAGGAACACCAGUGGCGAAGGCGGCUUGCUGGGCUUUUACUGACGCUGA
RNAcentral lists this ribosomal RNA (723 nucleotides) under uncultured bacterium. Its description in RNAcentral is "bacterial SSU rRNA". It matches the Rfam family "Bacterial small subunit ribosomal RNA", at positions 8 to 749 of the family's 1533-position model. The record is from RNAcentral.